Long non-coding RNA from Mustela erminea (ermine), 306 nucleotides. RefSeq lists it as uncharacterized. The record is from RefSeq and is a predicted model, not a curated record. The transcript is spliced from 3 exons. Lineage: Eukaryota; Metazoa; Chordata; Mammalia; Carnivora; Mustelidae.
CUCAGUCAGUUAAGCAUCUGACUCUUAUUUUGGCUCAGAACACUCCCACAGGAAGCAUCGCUGAUGGUCACUGGAUUGAUUUACAAAGGACAAAAGUACAAUGAUUAGAGGAGGAAAUAAGCACUUUUAAGAAAAGAAUCAAUAAACUCUGCUUUUAACGUGAAAAGAAAAGAAAUUUCUUACUGAAAGGAAGGGGAAAUUAUUCUUGGAACACAGAUGAUGAUAUCAACAGUAGCAGCAGCAGCAUCAACAAACCAAUUCAAAAAUCAAGAAAUUAUGUGUGAAAUGUAAAAAAAAUUGCCACCA